AUUAUUUGAAAUUUUUCAAUUUCUGGAAAAUUCGAAAAUGAUUACAAAUAAAAUGUCUGAUAUUUACAAAUGUUGAGGUAUGGAAUAAGAGUCUUAGACUCAGUAUUUACCCGAUAAAGCUGUCGGUACGCCGACAAAUGUCAGACCCUAUAAUAGAAAGAAAAGGCUUCUGUAAGAGCAUGGAUGAGAUAUUUGAAAAAUGUAUAAAAGUAUAGGAUAUGAACUAAAAGUAUGAUCACUGCGAUUAUGUGAUGACGUGAUUAGACUAUGUGCUGACCGUAAUAGACAGUACUAUGUGAUAUGAUAUAN
This 309-nucleotide long non-coding RNA is filed under the name Panax ginseng (ginseng). RNAcentral describes it as "long non-coding RNA (PGIN_LNC011199)". Lineage: Eukaryota; Viridiplantae; Streptophyta; Magnoliopsida; Apiales; Araliaceae. The record is from RNAcentral.